AGUGAACGCUGGCGGUAGGCCUAACACAUGCAAGUCGAACGGCAGCACAGUAAGAGCUUGCUCUUACGGGUGGCGAGUGGCGGACGGGUGAGGAAUACAUCGGAAUCUACUUUUUCGUGGGGGAUAACGUAGGGAAACUUACGCUAAUACCGCAUACGACCUACGGGUGAAAGCAGGGGAUCUUCGGACCUUGCGCGAUUGAAUGAGCCGAUGUCGGAUUAGCUGGUUGGCGGGGUAAAGGCCCACCAAGGCGACGAUCCGUAGCUGGUCUGAGAGGAUGAUCAGCCACACUGGAACUGAGACACGGUCCAGACUCCUACGGGAGGCAGCAGUGGGGUAUAUUGGACAAUGGGCGCAAGCCUGAUCCAGCCAUACCGCGUGGGUGAAGAAGGCCUUCGGGUUGUAAAGCCCUUUUGUUGGGAAAGAAAAGCAGCAGGUUAAUACCCCGCUGUUCUGACGGUACCCAAAGAAUAAGCACCGGCUAACUUCGUG
Molecule: ribosomal RNA, 492 nt
Filed under: uncultured bacterium
Lineage: Bacteria
Description: partial 16S ribosomal RNA
Rfam family: Bacterial small subunit ribosomal RNA
Source: RNAcentral